RNAcentral lists this ribosomal RNA (351 nucleotides) under uncultured bacterium. Its description in RNAcentral is "bacterial SSU rRNA". It matches the Rfam family "Bacterial small subunit ribosomal RNA", at positions 22 to 356 of the family's 1533-position model. The record is from RNAcentral.
GCUCAGGAUGAACGCUGGCGGCGUGCUUAACACAUGCAAGUCGAACGGGGAACAUUUUAUGGAAGCUUCGGUGGAAAUAGCUUGUUCCUAGUGGCGGACGGGUGAGUAACGCGUGGGUAACCUGCCUCACACUGGGGGAUAACAGUCAGAAAUGACUGCUAAUACCGCAUAAGCGCACGGGAUUGCAUGAUCCAGUGUGAAAAACUCCGGUGGUGUGAGAUGGACCCGCGUUGGAUUAGCCAGUUGGCAGGGUAACGGCCUACCAAAGCGACGAUCCAUAGCCGGCCUGAGAGGGUGGACGGCCACAUUGGGACUGAGACACGGCCCAGACUCCUACGGGAGGCAGCAGUA